RNAcentral lists this transfer RNA (75 nucleotides) under Candidatus Pacearchaeota archaeon. Its description in RNAcentral is "tRNA-Ile". It matches the Rfam family "tRNA". From Rfam's summary of the family: Transfer RNA (tRNA) molecules are approximately 80 nucleotides in length. Their secondary structure includes four short double-helical elements and three loops (D, anti-codon, and T loops). The record is from RNAcentral. Lineage: Archaea; Nanobdellati.
GAUCCCGUAGCUCAGCCUGGUUAGAGCGCCUGUCUUAUAAGCAGGAGGCCCUGAGUUCAAAUCUCAGCGGGAUCA